Molecule: long non-coding RNA, 32999 nt
Filed under: Coffea arabica (coffee)
Lineage: Eukaryota; Viridiplantae; Streptophyta; Magnoliopsida; Gentianales; Rubiaceae
Description: long non-coding RNA (CARA_LNC007017)
Source: RNAcentral
UUUUUUUUUUUUUUUUUUUUUGUGUUUGGGGGGGGGGGGGGGGGGGUGGUUUCUUUUAGGUUUGAUUUACCAUUUUUUCAUUAACAGAAAUAUAUUUUGAGGCUAUAAAAUCAUAUGUAAAAAAUCCAGAUGUUGAAAUUACAUGUAUUCAAACUUGUUUUUAUAUACAGUGAAUAACCAUAAGUAGCCUACCAAAUAAAAAAUAAUAAUAAUAAGCACACAAGUAAACAUUAAAAUUAAAUGGAUUUAAAUUAGCCAUAUAAGAGCUUUUUGUGUUUCCACUUUUUAUUACGUUAAUGCUGCGUUUGGAUUGGCCAUUUUUUAAAAAACAAGUUUUUUAAAUACAAUGCUAUAGUAAUACACAAUAAUUCAAAAAACCUCAUCCAUAUAAUAUAUCAAAUAUUUCAAAAAAUUUUUAUAGUAAAAAUUUUUCAUAUACACUGCUACAGUAAAAAUUUUCAAAAACACUCCAAAAAACAACUAAUUCAAAUGGAAAAUUUUCACUCUAUUGAGAAUUGGGAUUAACAUUAUAUGAGUUUUUAGUGAACAUGGCUUAUGAAAUUAUAUUUAAAUACUUUAGAGAGAAAGUAGGCAGGAGUUAACAAAAUGAACAAACAACAAUCCGUUCUUUUUACUCAUCAAAAGUAAUAAAUCUCACAACAAGCAUUUAAAUUUAACUUAUUGGUGCCUGUAAUCUUUGGUAAGUGAAAUAGGAAUACAAGACGAUUGACCGUACUUGAACUAAAGAUGAAAGGAUUCCUCAAUCAAUCAGGAGACAAGAAUCUUGGAUGACAUUUAAUUCUUUCUUAGAUUCCAACAUCCAGCUUUUAAGUUUUUCUUUUUCAUCCCUAAUGAAUAAAUAAUGAUUGCUAGUGUGGUUGCACAGGCUGUUGUUGAGGUUUCAGAAUCUACUGCUAUCAAAUACUACUAACUACUAACUACUAGUAGUAGUAGAGGAUUGAAUCAUCAGCUAUCCAACAAGUUGUUGAUAAAAAAGAGACGACUGGGAAUAAAUAAAUAAAUAAUACUUUUCAUGCAAUAUCUAAUACUCCAACCACUUACCAAGGUUUUCAUUCAAGCUUUUAACUUACAAAAAAAAAAAAAAGAGGAGCAGAUUGGAGGAUGUCUUGAUUAUUAUUGGCCGAAAGUGCCCAAGUCAGAGAGCACCUCUUUCAUUUUCUUUUGUUGAGAAGCUGAUGAGAUUGGGUUAUCCAGCAGGAUUGCCACCUUAGCCAGAAACUGAAAUCAUAGUGUAUUUAUUACUGACAUUUUGGUAUUCCGAGGUCAAGUCUCUCUCUCCUACAUCUCUGCCUCUCUCUCUCUCUCUCAUUUCUUUUUAGUAGUAGUAUUUGAUCGGUUGCGUUGCGUGUGGAAAAUCUGAACCCCACAGCCAAGAAAACCUCUACACUCAAAGCAAAUUAGUAUACUAUAGUAAGUAAUAAUAAUAGACCAUCCCAUUAUAUUCCCAUAUGCUUGUUCUGUUAGCCCUCCAAUCUUUGAAUUUUCUGUGGAAAAUCUGAACCCCACAGCCAAGAAAAACCUCUACACUCAAAGCAAAUUAGUAUACUAUAGUAAGUAAUAAUAAUAGACCAUCCCAUUAUAUUCCCAUAUGCUUGUUCUGUUAGCCCUCCAAUCUUUGAAUUUUCUAAACACUAGCGCUAUGUCUUUUAUUGGAAUGACGACUGGAGUUGCGAAAAGGCAGUUUCCAUUUGUUUAAUGGAAGCAUGCAAUUUCUGACAUUCUCAAUUUCUUGGAAACAAACCACCAACCCCCUACUCCCACCUCACCUCCUGCUCAAAGUGAAAUUCCCAAUUCAUGUGCUCAUGAAAGCAUCACAAAGACUAUCUAUCGAGCCAUCUUAUCUUCUCUUAUCUAAAACGGCAUCUUCGUUUAAAUGGUUUAUCAAAUUGCACGCUCCACAAGCAAAAUGCAGUACUCCACUAGCUUCCAAGACAAAUGGAAAUCUCCACCCUGCCCUGUAUUGCUGAUGAUCUUCUCUGCUUUUGCCCAGCUAAUGAAGUGGUUGGUUAUUUAGGAACCCACGAAAAAUUAUCUUCAUUGCACAAGCGUCACUCCAAUUUGAAGGAGCUGUUCAACCAAUUUCACUCCCUAAUGAUAUGAUCUGAUACGAAACUUGUCUGUUAGUUGUCAUGAAUAAGAGAAAAAUUGUGAUGCACUGAUCAUUUUAAUUGGCCCUUUGUUCCACCAACUCCAGCCUUAGAAUUAUGGAGCAUCUCCUUCUCCCAAGCAUCUGUGGGCACGUUACACUUUCUUGGAGGGCAUUCCAACCAAUGCAUUGAUAAAACUCUCAGACGAAUAAAGGAAAAAAAAGCAUUUAGUAGAGGUCACCAAUCUCCCAAAAGGAAAUCGAAGGAAGGGUUGUGAAGAUGAUGAAAGAAUGAGUGUUCAUCAUCGCCUCAAACCUCUUCUUUUCCUUUCCGACCUCUUAAACGAGAAGAGCAACAAAUUUCCUCUUUUCAUAAUUUCUGCCCUCUUCAUUUUCUUCGCUAAGAUCGUUCCCUAGCAACUUCAUUUUUUUUCUUAUCCUAUUGAGCAGGUGAUGGACAAUCUAAAACAGUGGGAGCAAAAAGAAAUGAUAAAUUCCAAUCUAAAAGCCUUGUACCGUAAAAGGAAAAAGACUUCAACUUCCAAUAAUCAAUUGAAUACCUAAUGAAAAUGUCAAAACAUUCGUUCUGUUUAUACUUAGUCUAAAACAAUCGUAUCAGUCCACAGUAGCAUAAGAAGAAAAUACAUCCCUGGAAGUUUUACAAGGAGCGGGCAGAGGAUGUAUGAUCUGCUCAAACACUUCUGAGAGCCAAUCGCCCCAACUCUUUCAGAUGGAGGCAAUUUUAUUGCCCAGAACAAUUGGUCUUAUUCAUUUAGCCAGUCCCGUUGUUUUACAAAUGGGACAUAAAUUCUUGUGUGUAAGCCAUUGUUUAAUACACUCGGCAUGAAAAUCAUGCCCGCAGUCCAGAGAACCAAGAUCUUCACCAUCACCAUAUUCUUCCUGCAAAUAAUAAGGUAGGUAGAACUUAAGGCCCCGCUUAUAAGAGCCAUAAAACUGCCAAAUCAACAGCAAAAGCAAAAAUCGUAUCUUGCAGAAACCCAGAAUGCAAAGACUUGGAUGGUUUACCUGACAUACACAGCACGGCUCUGUUUCAACCUCAACUGUUUUAUUGCUUACAUACUUCCGUUGUUUCAACUGUUUCAAAAUGGUUUCUUCACUCAAACCAGUGCUCACAUUUCCAAUACGCUCUUCUAGUGCCAAUAAUUCCUGUAACGGUGCAGGAAAUGAAGUUUUAAGAAUGUGUAGCACAAAGCUCAUGAUACAAGAUCAAGAAAUUACUGCCUAGGUCACCUCAUAUGACAUGUUAUCAACAUCAAGCCGCAUAUCCCUAUGGCGAUCAUGAAAAUCAGCCAUCCCGAAAAAGACUGAUUGGUCAAGAACCAUGACAUCCUGUCACAAACAAAAACAUUCAUCAAAUAACUAAAAACAAUACGUUGAGCUUCUCACAAUCUACUGCCCAAAAACUAGACAAGACAAAAACUAGCUUGCCUUGCCUUGCCUGUGCCACAAAAAGGAGGACGAAGCAGGAGUACUAUUCUCAUGACACCUCACCCUUUUAUACAAGGUAUCAGUCGCCUUCUAAAAGCUGAUGCAAAUUAUUUUUUGAUCUAUCAAGAGUAACAUUUUGAAGUAUCAAAAUAUCACCUGUUAGUGUGCAUCUAAAGGAGUGCGCGCAAUCUUCCGAAUUUUUUGCUAUCAAAUAUCUAAGUUAUUGUCCUGUGCUAUUUUUUGCACCAACUACAAAGGUGAUUUCUAUCCAAUUAAACAUUCAAUGUAGCCUGCAAUUUGCUGUCUUCCACAGGACAGAGAAUGAAUACUUAAUCAACCAGAGUAUCACUACAAAAUGCUGGAUAAUGUAGGCAAAACUUGUCUAUUUAUACCUAGAAAAUUAUCGUAGCAAUGUCAAAAUACAAAAGCUUUCAAUUAAUGUCAAAAUCUAACCUCAAAUCGCAAGCCCUCUCCUCCCCUGCGCAUGAGAUCCAAGACAUUGCGUAUCUGCUAAUUAGCCAAAAAGAAAACACGAUUAUUGACAUUUAUAUGACGAUAUGCCAAAAAACAUAAAGAAAUCUUCAUCAUGUUUGAAUGAUUCAGCUGCAACGAAGUGCCUUAAAGGCAAGAGUGCUAUCUGGAGAUACGAUCACAACAUUAAGUGCCAAGAUGAAAUUCAAUAGAUAACUUGCAGAAAAGAAAAAAAUCAUAUCAGAGUUGUUAACCAUAGUUUUAAAAUAGGACAUUUAACAGACUUAAAUGAUAUACUAAUAAACUUCAGGAAAAAGAUGGCUAACAAUUAAGAAUAUUGGAAAACAAACGGGAAAAGAAAACAACGAAAAAGUAAAGCAACAUGAUGUACCUCAGACAUUAGCCUGUUUCUUCCUUCACUGGCAGCAGCCAAAUUUCUUAAUGAAUAAGAUCCAAAAGCAGUAUCAAGGUGUCUCUCCAACAAUAUUGCUGACCUUGAACUUGCUGCAUGGCGACCCUGACUACCAGAUCCAGAUGAAAGUGGCAUGUCUUGGAGGACGAGGGACCUGUCCGCAGUGAAGGAUAAUUGCUGCUGUGACCUCCAGAGUCGCUAUCAGCUGAAGAUGACGAAGAUCUGCGAACGAAUUCUGAUAGUCUCCUUGGAUACUGAGAAGGAUUCCGAUGGGGUGUCCAAGUAGGGGUAGAUGAGUGGACAACUGCACUAGAGCCAGUGCGGGAAGUUGAUGCAGCGUUUCCAGGAUUACUGACACUUCCGCCAGCUAAACUCCAAUUAGGAGGGUUUUGUGAUGAAUUUCGUAUCUCCGUUGGUGGUACAAACAUGGGAUGUUCUGAAAUGUGCCUUGCCACACUGGAUGAACUAGACUCCUCAUAUGGUACAGCAUCUAUAUCUCCAGAAAUGGCAAAACUAGAUGAGCUUCCAGUUCUUGAGCUAGAUGCUCCAUUCCACCUGGAAUGUGGGUUUCGACGCACAGAUGACACAUGCACUACAACUGACUGACCUUGAGAACUUCCACUGUCGGUCGUAGGUGCAGGUCUCACAUCCAAAGAAUUAUUACGGGGGAGCAACCUAAAUGAAUGCUGAGCGGAUGAACUAUUAGGAUUUCCAACAUCAGUCUCUGUGGAGACUAUAUUAUUGCGUGAAGAAUCUUGUUGAUGUGAGGCAUUUAUCCUCAAGCGAAAAUUUCUGCGGGAACUCUCUGCAGUUCUUGAAGCAGUUAAUGGAGGAUGACUAUCAGAAGAUGCUCGUCCAACACUUAAUCCGAGUCUCGGGAUUACCUGCUCUGGUAGAUUGACCGUUGAGUUGUUUUCUGAAGGGGCAGCUAUACCUGUGCUGCUGGAUGCAUUAUGCCUAGCUGGUACUGAAUGCCAUAGAUUGCUCUCAGCAUGUUGAACCAAGUUUGAACUUCCACUCCCAGAAGAUUGUCCAGCAUUUCCUUCCAGUGUUUUUCUUUUACACGAAAACCUUCGACCAUCCAAUGAACAGCCAGGCCUCCCAUCAGCUUCCUCCACCAAAAAUCCACCAGUUCCAGAAGAAUCCCAAAAGGAUUGGAAGAAUUACUAGCAGAUGCAUCCGCUCAUUCACUGAUUCACUAGCUUUGAACGCAUUUUGACAUUCCAAAACUUGGCAAUCAUCAUCCUCAUCUACAAUAAUAUCUGAGUUCAUAUUCAGAUCCUGCCGAAUGGAUUCAGAGCCUGAAUUUUGCAUAAAGAAAGUCCCACUUGCACUUCAUUGCUGUGCAUAUUUACACCAACAUUAUUUAAUGAAAGAAUAUUAGAGGGCCCAUAUUGCUGUCCUUCUGCGCCAAGAGCUGCACCAGCACAAACAUUUAUUGGAGAUGACCACCCAUGUUCGUUUUUCCGAUCAGUUUCACUAACCUCGCCUUGUUCCCCUCUAGAACUGCUUUCACCGAAAUCCCAUCCACUUAAAUUCUGCCCUGGUUGGUUCACUGCAUUUAGAAAUCCAACACUUGUGUCUGUCGGCGACAUCAAAUAAUCAGGUAUCCUGUUUUGUGACGAAUUCCUUAUGCUAUUCCAGUGCACCUGCUGGUCUAAGCUAGUAUCGCUUGAUGUUGAUCCAUGAUCAAUGCCUAAAACUUCAGGUAAGGAACCAACAGCACUCCUUUGCCCUUGCAUUAGGGCUGAAUGUGCUUCUUCAAGAUUUCUGAACAGCUCCAAAAAAUGCUUACGCAAACAGAGCUCAGAAAGCAGUUCUUCAGGUAAUCUGAGAUUGUCAGUAAACAAAUUCACAUGAUUAUGAUUUGGCCAUAAAAGAGAAGCCAAAGAUAAGAGAUAAUACAACAGCAGAACUGGUAUUGCAGAAUGACGUUAAAUACAAAGUCUUUCAGUGCCACCACAAAAAUGUAUGCAUCUAACCACUAAGAUGCUUUUGAAAAAUUAUGUACUAAAUGUGGUUUGUUACAGACCUUAACUGCCAGCAUUCUAUGACCAUGCAGUCUUACCAUCAGCAUUCAGAUUACAGAACACAAAAUCAGAAUGCCAGCCUCACCAUUUCAGUAUUUGUUGCAGAACACUGACAGUGAAACAUGCCGGUGAAGGUUUCAUGCAUGCCAGCCAAAUGUUCUAACUUUCAUGACAUAAAAACUUUACCGCACCUAAAAAGCAAUGCAGGCAUGCAUUGUUCAUUGGCCUCGAGCAAAGCAUUGAGAUAUCUAGGUAUGUGCUAAAGGUUUGUUAGUCUGCUAACAACAGUAAGGUUGAUUACAACCAAAACUCUUGAAUGCAAGUUGCAAAUAUAUCAUUCUUCCAUCAUCCCAACAACUUGAAGCAAAAAAAUGAGGAUACAAACUUAGCUAACCUAGCAACAACUUAAAGCACGAAUAUGAAUUUACAAGCUUUUUGUUCUGAUAUCCCAAUCUUUACACAAAAGAGAAGACACAACGAAGAAUCACCAACCAUAAAAUGACAUUGCACUAAAGCGUUACUUAACAAUAUGAUCACACCCGAUGUGUAAAUAGACGAAGAAAUUAAUAAAAGCAAACUGCAUCAAAAAUAGAUUUUUUGUAGAUAAUAAAACUAGGAAGAUUCUAUUAUUAUUUUUCUUGGAAAAGCCUUAAAAUCAUUAAUCAAAAUGGAUUGGUCAGAGAAGAAAACCACCCAGAAUCAGCUCUCAAUCCAACCAUCAAUGAGUCAAGUACCAAAAGUCAUAACUUUUUUUUUUCAAAAUUAUAGGCAUUUGCUCUGAACAAGAAGUAUUUGGAAACAAGAAAGAUGCAAGGAAAUGAAACGAGGAAAAAAAACUAGAAAAUAAUAAAAAUUAUCAAAAAGUCAAGAAUCAAUAGAGGAGGAUGAACCAAAAAUGGUAUGAUUCUAUUACCUAGACCAAAAAAGAAUAGCAGCCCAGAACGAACAGCAACCAAGACUGGAUUUUUAUCAGACAAACAGCAGCAGAUUAAGCUGUAGAUCUACAGUCAAGACCUGAAAUGCAAAAUAACCGCCAGAAAUCAGCGCUGUCAAACAAAAAUAACAAAAAAAAAAACAAUCUUUCCAUCCAAAUUUAAGAUUCUUUUUCCUCUAUCGGCCACAAAGAAAACAAGAUAUUAAAAGAAAAAAAGCCCAAAACAGACAGACCUCACUGCUGAACAAUCUGUGAUAGAUGAAGAGAUACAGAUGGAGAAAAGGAGAGAGAUAAGAAUAAAGAGAAAAGGUUUUGUAAGAAGAAGAUGAGGAAGAAAUGGUGGUUAUGGGUGUGAAAGAGGAUGGAAGAGAGAUGGGUGUGCUAUUAGCAUUUAGCAUUGGGGGGGUAGAAUAAUGAGGCUGAUUAAAGCCAGACCAACAGUAAUCCUUUGCUAUUUCAGUCAAUUAUGCAUUUUUGACAUUUCAGAAAAUUAAAAAGUCAUGUUAAUCACGAUCAGAAGCAACUGAAUUGAAUGCAAGAAAUGUCAAGGAUGGAAAAUGAAAUGGGACAUGAGAAAGAAAAUACUACUAAUAGAAAUCGGUAUUCGGUAAGGCAGUGGCAGUAAUAGUAGCGGUAGAAAACAAAACCAAAAACUGAAAAGAAAAGAAAAGAAGAAAAAGGAGAGGAGUUGUCAUGUUCAUGCAUAUGUGGGUUAAAAGGCCGCUUACCAAAUGGCUUUUUUUCCUCAUGUCUGAUGUCUCCCCUCUCUUUUUCUAUUGCCCUUAAACGUUAAUCGCUGUCUUGAAAUUUAAAGCUCUUCUUUCAAGGAAGGGGUUGGAGGGCUGGACGCCUAAAGCCUAAAGGGCAUAGUACGAGUACUAUAGUUUAAUAAGAGCAGUAAAUAUUUUGGUUGAAUGUUGAAAUGUUUUUCUUUUUUGGUUGGUCUUUUCUGUCAACUCAACUGUGUCUCCCCAAUGCAUCUCCACGCCGAGCAGCUGGCCCCUGUUUGGCAUCUCAUAAUCACAUGUCCGUCUUUGCACUUCGUUUCUUUAAAUUUAAAGGCCUAAUGAACCUGCUUCUUGGUUUCACACUUGUGGGCUGUGGCAGUCUUUUUUUCUUUUUUCUCUCUCUUUUCUCUUGGGAGGUGUUUUUGUGCUGGUGGGAGUGUUGGGGGGGGGGGGGGGCGGGAGGAGUGGUUUUUUUUCUUCUUCUUCUUUUUUUUUUUUUUGUUCUUUAAAAAUAGUAGUUUUGGUGAAACUAGUGGAAUCCUAUUAUUAUGUUACCAUACUUGUUUCAUAGUUUUUUAAUUGUUCAUUUUAAUGCUGAAUUAAUUCCUGCUCUGCAAUAAUUAAAAGAUAAGAAAUGUAUAAACAACGAGGAUACAAAUUUUUAGUCAAUUAGACGUGAGAAUCAGCAAUCUUUUCCUUUUUAAUGUACGCACAAAAUGUUAAUGGGCGAUAUUAUCGAAAGCAACUAAUCGUAUCAGAAAUAUAUUAAUUCAUCCCGUAGGUAGGUGUAAGUAAGAAAUUUGAAUUUUUUUUUUUUUUUUUGAGCAGGAGAUUUUGAACUCUGAACAAGCUUUGAUUGAGUUGAGUUGAAUCAAACAAAUACGAGAUGGAGGUCUCCUUUUUCCCUUUCAAAUUGCAGUAUUGGAACAAUCAAACCAAUAGUAGUAUUAGGAAACGGCUGGGUGCUCCAAUGACCCCAAGAGGAAAACGAAAGAAUGGAAUGCGUCUCCAAUUAGCUCAUUCAAAUUUGUCCAUUUUAUUCAAAACACGUGAAAAGCAUGGCAAACUAGUAGUAUCAAUUUAACACAACUAUACAGCUUCUUUUCUCCAGCACUUUAACGAAAAAUUAGCGUACAUGAAUACAGGGUGCAUACCAUGAUUUGUGGGGUAUUUUCCAUGUUAUUCAUUUAUUUUAGCACACAUACAUCCUAGCAAGUACUCAAAAUUUAUUUUUCUUUUUAUUCAUAAGCGUCAGCUUAUCAAUUAUUAGUAAUUAAAUUAGUCUUAAGGACACAUAAAAGCCCAAAAGGAAAAGAACAAAGAGAAGGAAAGAAAAGUGGUGUAAACAGAAGGAUUUGGUCACAGCAAAAAUUGUCUCAUUACAAAAAAGAUAGAUACCUGCAAGUACGUAUAUAAAUGGUCCAACUUUGUUUUAAUAAUUAAUUUUAAAAUUAAUCCUGAAUGAAUGACGUCUACGUAACAUUUAAAUUUAAAAUUUAACUUUUACGUAUAUACAUAUAUAGUAAAUUCAAUGCUGAUAACGUACAUAUAGUCGUCGGUAAGUAAAUAUGUAUAAGAUUUUCUCUUCAUUUUGACCCGUAAGUAAGUAGGCCGUAAGGCAGCUCCUAUAAUCUCACCAUACCACGCAAGGGGCGCAUAAACAUACACAGCUGCUGGGCACGGCAGCAACGUCGCAUCAUCCAAGUCGAGUGGGGCUCUUUAUUCUUCUUCCAAUUCCAAGUCUUUGGUUCUAUAAAUAUGCUCAUCCUCCUUUCCUUCUUUCCUUUCUCUCUCACACUCACCGCCUCACCUCUCUAGUCUUUGAUUUCUUUCUUCUUUCAAUCAAAUUCAAAGGUGGGCUUGCUUUGCUUUGCCUUUUUCCUUUGUGUUUUGUAUUGUUGGGUUUAGGUCACAAGUCACGAGACAGAAAAGCAUAUUAGCAUUUGCCCAUUAGCAAUUGGCAAUUAGCAAGCUUCCUAUCUUUUUCCAAAUGGUCUACUCAAACCACCAUUGCCUAAUAAAUAAAAAUAUAUGUGUUACAUAAUUACAAGAGGAUAAGUGUGAUUCCAUUCCCUGCCAGAAGAAGGAUAAGAGUCUAUAAUGUGAUGAAAUUUCCCGUGAGAUUAUAUGCUUGUGAGGUCAGACAAGGCUGUUAGCUUAGUGUUGAAUAACUUGUACAUGACAAAUUUUGAGGUGCCGACAUGCGCCCAACCAUAUCAAGCUAUAGGUAUCAUCUCAUUUGGUGGCACAUCCUAACGUCCAUCACUCUCUUUAUCUCUACAUAAUUUUCAUUAUUUUCUGGGUCAAAACACUACUCUACGAGUCUAUGGCCUAUGCAAAACAUCAAAAUCUACUGAUUAAUCCCAUCAACAAUCCUCCAUUUUUUUUUGCAUAAUAAUACUCUUCCUACCAUACAUUUUAUGUUGUUCAUGUAUGUGUACAGAUUGCAUUUGUUGUGUCUUAAAGCAAAGAAAAUCUUACUGCUUACCUAUUACCUUACGGCAAUAAAUACAAGACAAAAACUUUUCAUUUCGCUCCGUUUUCAUUGGGCAAAAGCAGUUUCCACUCAAGAAUAGGGUAAGAAUGAUGAUACACGCCUCUAUUCUAUAUAUUUCUACGGGAAAGGAAAAAAAAAAAACACACACACACACACACACACAGAGUGGAGCAUCUGUCUAUUCUAUGGGUCAUUAAGCAAGAGUUGGACUUUUUUGUGUACACUGUGCUGUAGGAGGAGUCAUAAAAUCAAAGGGGUCUGUGUUGGUCUACAAUCAUGGGACCCAAUCCUUCUAUCAAUUUCUCCUGUCUGAAAGGUAGGUGGUGCGGUGGCUCAAUUUAAUCGUGAUGGCAGAAGCUUUAUGAGUAAUGACCCUCAGAAUUUUGGGUCUACAAUGACACAAGAAUUGGAAUGACCCACCCAAUUUUACGUGUGUAAAAGCAUACGGGUUUGGUUUGGGGUGGGGUGGGGUGGGGCAAUAAUAAUAUCGCUGCUCAAAACCGAAGGCAGUGAUGAUGGAAUUGCAUAUUUCACACAGCUGCGGGUUAUGCUUAUCGACCGGCCAAAAAAAUGGGUAACAGAUCAGAUUUUGGUGUCCAAGAAUAAUAAUCAUAACAAUAAUGACUUGCGGAAAGAUGACAAAAAAAACCCCUGAAGGAAUCAUCAGUGUCUUAUAGCUACCACCGCGACAUAUUAUGACAACAUGUUCAUCUCACUCCUUGGAAGGGGCCACUUUUUUAUGGUUUUAAUAAGCGCUAAAAGUGUGAUUAUGUGAUGGUUUUCUAUAGAUCAUCUGCUGCAGGCGACACGUUCAUUUGCCUACCUCUCUCUUUUUUUGCUUUUUUGGUUUUUUUCCACCCAAGAUGGGGAUAUGAUAUGUGGUAACACGAUCAAGAAACAUACUCCACAAGGCAAAGGGUAUGAACUCCUGAAGAGUCUUUUGAGAAUUCAAGAGGAGGAGAAAAGGACAGAAAAGAGGAUGACGAAUGAAGGGAUGCGCCAUUUAUUGCUUGUAGGUGCAGCAUGCAUUGUGAAAUGAAAGGAAAUGUUACAGCAACAUCAAUAAUGAUGCAGUCACUAGCGGAUCAUGCAAAGGCCAAGGCCGCUCCGUAAGCCUCAUUUCCUGUUGUUUUUGCUUGUGAUUUGCAGGAGGACAAAUGAUUGUUUUGACCGUGCUUUAUGGAAAAACAAAAUAAAGAUCAAAAGAUGGCACACAGUAAGAAACAACACCAGAAAGGGGUGGACGCAAAAAAAGCCAAGCCAAGUACUUACAACUUGGUAAGAGAUAAAGAGACCCAAAACAUAAAGCAGGCAGAACAGAAAAGAAAUGGCGCCUCACAUGAUCCUUGGGUCAUGGAAUUCAAGCUCGCUCCUUUCCGCUCCACAGACAAAAUACUAAAACAGUAGCAAGUAUAUCAUGUUUUCCUGCGUCUUUUUUAUAGAUUCCAAGUCUUGAGCCAAGCCUCUCAUCAGCCAGUCACUAAGUGAAACCGAAAUGCUGGCUCACUCUUUAUCAUCAUGAGAGAGACAACUAGUGGCUGCCCUGCUGCAGGUCUCCUAAGGAAAGGUGGCAAUACUAUCUUGAUCUGCAUCAAUUUCCCUGUUCAAGUAACAACCUGAGUAAAAUCCUAAGCAAGUUAUCUGACAUCCAAGCCACGUCCUGGAUCACGAAAGAUGGCCUCAGACUGUCACAAGUUUUGACAAUAACAACAAUACAAGCAUCAUUAGCCAUGACAACUACAUCAUCUCUCAGGCUAACGUACAAAAAUUCAAGCUUUCCCUUUGAACUUGCUGAUGUUAUCUUAGCGAUUAAUUGGUGUGUGCAUCCUUUCAACUAUCCUAUUUACGGCAUCACGAGACAUCACUAGAGUGUCGUGCAACAAAAUGCUAUAGACAUUCAAUCCCUGCAAAAACCAAAAGUCAAAAAAAAAAAAAAAUCAGAACCAGACUAAGUGCUGGAGAAGAAUCACCUCGAAUAGAAUCCAAAACAGCCUGUCACUACUGAAACAGGGCGGCAGAUUAUCAAGGAAAAAUACAAUUUAUUUCUACAUAAAUUACCAUCCACAUUUUUGGUAGACAUUUGAACUCUACUGAAACCAUGAAAUGGCUAAUGGUUGUUCAUUAAUAACAUAACGGGAAAAAUAAUCUAAAUCUUCUUGAAAAGGAAUCAGUAUUUGAAAACUCAUUGAAAGGUUAUGGCAAAGAUAAUUAUAAAAGCGUGAUUGAUGAGUAAUUCCAUAGUUCAUCUGAAAUUUUAAAAAUUUGAUAAAUUGCAGUUCAUCUUUCAGAUGUGAAUGUCAGCAGGAAUUACAUCCAACAACAAACUCACGAGGGACAAAUCAAAACUAAGUUGAUACUUACAAUUGAAGGAAGAACAUUGACAUAAUGUAUAUUUUGGGUAGCAAGCUUCAGCUUUUCGUUAAUUGCAUCUCCAUCCACCAGCAGAAGUUUCUUGGUAUCCACCAUUAGAUUAUAAUAGCUGACAAUAUUUUUGUCUUAUGUGAAGGGAUCUCUAAAUCCUCAAAAACCAUAAGCUGUGGAUAAAGAACCAUACGAUGUCAAAACUAAUAUAAUUAGAUGAAUGGGUGAACAUAAAGAGCAUAAGCUGGAAACUAUUCCUCAUCCUAAAAGAAAUGAUAAAUGUUAUCAUUUCCAUGGGAGAGGGAGGUAGAAAGGCCAAAACAACACUGGAUAAAUGUAGCCACACUAGAACAGAAGUACAAGCUUUAUAAUAGAAGAUAAAUCUCUUAAAAAAUAUAAAAUCUUCAAAUGAAAGAGACUUAAAUCCUCAAGGGCUUCCAGGUUAAUAGUUAAUUAAAAGUAGAAAUGACAAUUUUCCAGACUCCCAAAAUUCGCAAUACUCUACAAAUUCAGUCAAAUACAACUAUCUACCUUAUCUAACAUAUCUCGAGGUAUCAGUGCUCAGAAAGGAAGGCUAGUGUGUGUGCUAACUUAAUCCAUGAGGAAAGCCUCAAUAAGGUUUUUAGCAGGUUAGUGCUGUUGUAUAUCCUAGUAGUUACUUCACAAUUGCAACGGAAUUGCUGUUUAACAGAUGAAAAUACUUAUAUGGCAACUUGAGGGAUAAACAUCAUCGGUAAACAAGUCCAAUAAUGCAAUCAGAACAGAAUAAAGUACCAACAAUUAAUAUGAUAAAGAAGCUCUAUUUUUCACUAUUAAUGUUGGUGUACUCCUAAUUCUAGCCGGAACUCUAUCCUAGAAAUCAAAGGUGUUACAAGAUACAAAUCAUCCAGUUAUGGCCAAAAUAUUUAUGCACUACAAUGAAAGAAAAUUAUAAAGAGGCAUAUAAAAUUAUCCAGAUAGUCUAAAGCAUGAAGCGAUAGGCUUUGCUCUGAAAGACUGGGGGUUUCUUUUUUAAAAAAAAUGGACAAAGGGUUCUUUUUUCCCCAGACAAUUAAAUCAUCAUCCAGACCAAGAAAAACUUAUGGCAGGACACCACGAGCAUAAGAAUAAAUCAAAUAAAUAAAGGGAAACUAGGACUGAAGUAACUUUUGGCUACAUAGGGUCCAGGACAAAAUUUUUGCCCAUUGUUCUAAGACAACCCAACCAAAUUCUAGAUAAGAAAAACAAGGAGGAAAUUAUAUAAGACAAAGUACGCUUUCAAAAACUCGCCUUUCCUUCUGCUGCUCUAGCUGACAAUGCAAUCUUUAGCCCCAGUCGACGGACCUUCUUAUUCAGCUUGAUAGCAUGACUUCGUGGUUUGGGACCAUGCAUAGUUGCACCACCCCUGAACUGUUAUUCAGCAAGCAAAUCCAUAGUAACCAUUCAGAGUCAUACAAAAAGCACCAUCUAUACAGAAAUAUAAGACAGCGGUACAUCACCUGAGGACCUCGCAGUGUUCCAUGUCUCGCUCGACCAGUACCCUUCUGUCGCCAUGGUUUUCUACCAGUUCCACUGACCUCGCUAAUGGUUUUGGUUGAAUGAGUUCCCUGACAAAAACUCACUGCUCUAAGAAAAUUUCACAAUAAUAAAUUAUUCUCCAGCUUAAAGCUCAUUAAGAAACUAUUAAUAUACACCGAGCACGAAAUAUCCUCCACUGCAAGAACUAAAACUUCUUCUUAUAUGCAAAUAACAAUUAAAAAUGUUGAAGAUAACAAGAUACUAGAUGCCAAAAGUUAAGAAAGUUUAAAAAACUGCAGAAGGUUAUAUUGACCUCACUCACUCAGUGGCAUGACAUUAAUAGAUUUGCUAUUCUUAACUCAAUUGUUUAAGAGGAGGAUACAAGGUACAAUAUUGGCUCGUGAAACAUUAAGACAUGUUAUCCUGUCAAUUUAUCAUACUUCCAAGUAAAGAAAGAUCAUCCUACCUGCUGUCGUUUUGCAAGCUGCCACCUUACAACACGAUGGACAAUAUCUUUCCUAAUUGGAACAUCAAAAACAUCGCCAGCCAAAACCAUCAAGCCUUUAUCUUCAUUGGAAAAGUUUGUGACCGGAAUCACCAGGUCCUGACAAAGUCCUAAGAAAUCACAAAUAAUCAACACAGUAAAGAAGUGAUGUUUCGCUAGUUGAACACAAAGUAGCAAUAUGCCAGUCUAUAAGAAAUUUUACCUUCAUCGGAUGAGACAGAGAAUAUAUAACAAAUCAAAACCAAAAGUAAACUUCAUUUGGUAGGGCCAACUCAAUCUAUAACCUUCCCAGAAACAGAAAGUAAAUCUCCUAGAUAAACUAAAACAUAUCCUCAUGUAAACUGAAAAUCCACUACAAACUCUUAUUAUUUGCAGCCAGAAGCCUUUAAAAAACUUGAAAAUUCUGGAUUUAAGAUACAAACCUAAUAAGAGAAAUUUGUAUCACUCUCUUCAAUACAUUGUGUCAUACCUACCUUGUCAUACAUCACUAUAAACUCAAUCAUAUCGUUAUAAACCAAAUGCAACGAAAUUCUUAGAGUCAAGCCUAAGGUGUGCAAUCAUCUAAUGCAAUUCAAACUGCAUUAAUUGGACACUGUUUCAAUUCAUUCCUCACAGAAAAUUUGACUUAUCCAUCGAUUCAUGAGCUAGAUUUUAAAAAAAAAAGUGUAGAAAAAGAAAGUUUAAUACAGUAAAAUUUUCCAAAAAAAUGGAGCAUAAUGAAGCAUGCUAAUCUUUCCAGAACGUAUCUAAAGAAAAAGCAAAAAAUAAAAAGCAAGUAUUAGAAGUCAUACCAACUGUGCGCUCAGGGGGGAAAACCCGUUUCCUGGACAACAAAUCUGAGGGAAAUGCAUCUUCACAUGAUCCAGGAGUUAAGAUAGAAGUUGAAAACCCUCGACAAGCAGCGAUAAGUAACUCAUUCUGCAGUCAAAAACCAGAAACAAGAAGAAAGCUAAUGAAUAUGAUGCGACCAACAAAAUGUGCUACCAUCUUCUUACAAAAGAUUCAUUUUUGCGGAAAACAAAUGAUAAAAAACAAGGGCACAACCACGGAAGACAAAUUUCAAAUCCUAACUAAUUUCUUGCAAGAUCAGUAUAAGCAAAUUGUGAUAACUAAUCCAGUUACCUUUUGAAGAGCAGAUAAUUCAACAGAAAACACACUGUGCCUAACAGCCCGCUGACAGCUCAAGCCUGCAAUAAAAAUUUCCCCCAGAAUAAUAAUAAAGAGUCAGAUUUUAGUCAAGUUAUUCAGGAGAACAAAAAGAGCAUGAAGAUAACAUACCACUAGAAAAACCAAGUGCCGAAGAAAAUGCACCAUUCCAAGAACGAAAAGCCCUUCUUGAAAUCCAAAGUGCCAUGCUCCAAAAUGAUAAACUCUCGAAUCUAAGAACUCUUUAUCCUUUUAAUUUGAAGGGUUGUUUCUGGUCCAGCUAAACGGAAACCAUCCUGGGAAAAUUUAUUGAUUCACCUGAAAGUUCAUAUUUUUAUCAAUGGAUGAUUACCAGAGUAACAGAUAACAGAAGAAAAAUUAGAACACAGAGCCCGAGAUAUCAUAAAAUUUCCCCCCAUUUGCAUUGCUAGGCAGCUGAGGGAGGGGGUUGUUGGCGGAAGCAUACCAGCAAAGUGACUGAGAAAGGCGAAUUGAUGAAGGGUUCCGAUGGCACAGCCCCGAGACUCAAGUAGAGUAAGAAGAAGAAGAAGAGAAGCAGCUACUGAAGAAGAAACCCUUUCAUAAACCCUUUGCCAUGGUAACUAUUUCUGUGUUUUGGGGAGAAUUGUUGUCCGGGUCGGAGUUAAAUGAAUUUGGUUUGCACGUCCUUCGGAAAGAAAUGCGGUCUAUCAGUCUAUGGUCUAAGCUAAAAAGUUUUGUGGGCUUUUCUCUCCCACAGUUAUAAGGAAUUUCAGCCUAUUUGUUUCUUAGCCUGCAUUUUAAUGUCUUGACUUUAUCAGCAUACUUGUAUCAUUGCCCACAUUCAUUUUCUGAUUUUGAACUUUACUAGUCUUUCGUCCAAAAAAAAAAAAUUUACUAGUCAAUUGCCAAUGAUUUUAAAACCCACCGGUAUAAGUUUUACACAAUUUCAUCGGCUGGUCAUGUCCGGAUCCAUUUUAAAAAAGAAAAGUAAAAAAAAAAAAAAAAAAACAGAGUAAAAUAGCUUCACGAAACUCAGGUGAAAAGUUGAAGAGAUAUUCGUCGAUAUUAAUUAUUUUGGGUUGCUUGUCAAAAAUUAAUAACACUCUGUAGAUGGGAAAAUAGUGGAGCAUUUUGAUGACGACUCGUUGGUGUACAGGUAAAACGACCCAAUCAAACUCCUUCCUUUUUUGCUGGAAACAUGAUAUGAAAAUACGAAUGAACAUUAAAAUCGACUAUUUAUGCGGGGUCCUAAAUGCUGCUCCAUCUUCUCAAGCGGCAGCAGUUAACCGCUACCAUCCCAACAAGCACAUAUAUACUAAUAAGUUGAUGAUAAAAAUCCUAGUAAAAGAGACCUUCAUAUCCAGAAAAAACUAGACUUAUUUUAAUUGGAUCUAGUGAUCUGCUAUUAUACAUCAGCACAGCGCUUCAAUUCAUACUUCUUCACAUUCUUGACACUGAGAAUGACCGAUGCAGUGACCAGCUCACACACCUCAUUCAAUUGACUCCGUUGACCUUCCCAUCUUUGCACAGCUUUCUCACCAUCUUUAGCCACCUCCACCCGGGCCAGUGCCUGCUGUAAAUUGAUAUUUGAGGAUCUGCAGGUUCAAUACUAAAAACCAUUACCAGCCUUUCAUCAAGGAUGAGAUGUAGGAAAAGCAAGACAAGCAUCCACAACCACCUUAUGAAACAUGGUUUCCUGGCCUUCACAUGAUCAUUAAUCCACAAUUGAGGUAAAUCUCAUUACUGGCAGUACUCCCCUCCACCUUUUCGCAUUUUCUUCAUUCCAUAAUCCAUAUUGAACAACUCAGUUUCUAACUCAUUGUGAUAUCAGUUCUAUCAAUAUGUGUAAUUCAUAUCUCCUAGAGAAAAUUAGUUCAUAACAUUACUUCCUGAGGAAGUAAUCUGAGCAUCAAGACUCCAACUGAGGAAAAUCUGCAGGACAUCGGAGAUGUCUGCCUCUUGUAUCUUUUCAAACACAAUAAUGUUACCACUCCUAAAGUUAAUCAGUCGACACCCGGAAGCGAGCAUAGAAGGUCAUCGACCUCUAUAUAAUCUCCUUCUAGAAUGGUUUUCAAGUCCUGCACAGCCAAAUCAUACAAAUCAUCAGGAAGGAAGUAAUGAUUGAUCCAUGGGCCGUAUAAUUCUACAUGUUCAAAUUCAACAGAUCAUAAAGAAAAAGCAAUCUCCAUCUUUUUUAAUAAGAAAGCAAAAUCUAUCUGGAUAAACUUAAGGGCGUCAGUAAGUAAACUCAGAAAGAGUACUUAAGGAACCACAUUCAAUUUCCAACCCAUAAGACGAAUGAGGAGAUAGAAGUUUGAAGAAGGGAAAAGAAGAUCAUGUUGGGAAAACAGGAACAUUUAUUACUCUAUACAUAUAACAUCUUCAUUUCUGCUUGUUCAGGAAAGCUCACUGGAAAUCUCAAACUUACUUAUCAGGUCAAUCAAUUCAAGACCAUCACUCAGAAGUUUUCAUCAUCCCAUUUACCAAAGAAAAAGUGUUCAUUCUAAUAUGGCAAGUAAAUCUCAACUAAGAGGACUGUCUACCAACUUAUCCACAGAAUUUACAGUAAAAAAGAAAAAAGGCUUAUCACCAACCUCUCUGUUUCUCCUCAAGAAAUCACACAUAUAACAGUCACUAAAGUCCUAAUGCCAGUGAACCUCCAACAAAGUGAAUAGAAUAAGAGCAAUCCAAAAGGAACAAAGAAUGCUAUUGAGCUUUGACAUUCCACAAUCAGACAAAGCAACUGUUUUGAAAAUAUACUGCAGAAGUCUAAGCAGCAGGAUCCUUCUAACUAUAACUGAUAGGAAAAAUUUCGCUGAAUUGAAAAGAAGAAGAUUUCAGGUUUAAUACCUGCUCAGAAACAGGCUUGAGGCUAAUGGUCUCGUCUAACUCAUUACCCUGUCCUGGAGGGAGCUUCAAAACCUCAUUAUCAUCAUUUUGCGUACUCUUGUCUUGCAUUUUAGAUUCUUCAAUAACUGAUGUAACACUUCCAUCAUAUUGAACACCUAUAUGACGCACAGUUGCAACACUUUCCUCACCGCAGGAACUUAUAUUGUGCUCUGAUAAGUUAUGUCCCAGAUCAGAUUUGUUAAACACUCGGCAAAGGACAAAAGAUCCCUGCAUAUACUUUGAAUCAUGAGAUUCUGAAUAAAUUUUGUUGCAGCUUUAACCAAAUGAAUUAGAGCAGAAACUUCUAACAUAAUCCAAUAACCAAAUUUCCUAGAUCUUUUAAUAUUCAAUCUGAUCAUAUGGGAAAGCAACCAUCAUCAAAAUAUACUUGACAUCUACACAGUACACACAGAUGGAAAUAAAUGGAAAUCACAACCCUAGGAAGAAUACACAACAUCCGAGUCAUAUAUGAAAGAUGGUGCACACAUUAGUCUCAGAGUGUAGGACUGUCGAAUAGAAGCUGACAUCAAGAUCCUUGAAACAAGAAACCAUCUAUUUUCUCCUCUUCUCGCACACAAACAAAUCAUGAUCAAAAGCUUGUCCAGCAGCAGGGCAAUGGGUAUCACACAGUGAAUCUCAAGUCUAAACCGAGGCCUCCCGUUCAGGAUCUUCACAAAUCAAAACUAAUUUCAAUAUGUUAUUAGGAAAUAGUCACGAUGCAUUUUUUCUUCUUGCCUUUAACAUUAAAAUCAAUUAAGAAAAUCACCUUUACAUUUUGAAACAAAAUAUACUUUCUUAUAAAAAAUGAUUUCAUCACACCAAUGCAAAAGGCACCAAAAGCUAUUUAUAAUGCGUAAUUGAUAAUAGCAAGAUAACAAACACAAACUUAAACCUAAUUCCAAAUAAGAAAUAACUAAUCUAGCUCAACAGGUAAAUCACAAACUUUAUGUCUCUAUUUGCGCCUGUAUGUGCAAAUUCUAGUACCAAGUACAAUAAAGUAGAAGAGAAUUUUAACAGCUUUAUUAGGGAAAAAAUGAAUUAAAUCCACAUUGACCCCACUAAAAUCAUUUCCCGAAACCAGCAUAAGCAAGACUGCCAACUGACAAUCAUUCAUUUAACAUGGCCGAAUCCAAUUUCUACUUCCGAAUCCAAUUUCUACUUCAUACCCUUGAAUUUAGGAAGCAUAAAUUACCACAAAAUUUUCUCCAUAAAUAUAUUAAAAAAAAAAAAGAACCGCAGAACCCAAUUCGCAAUGAAAAUGAAAGUAUUUGGGGGAGAAAAAAUUCCCAUUAGAUAUUAACGUCAAGUUAACUAAUUAUGAAAAAAGUUAAUCUAGUCAAACCCAAUCAGCUUAGACCAACAACAAUGUAUAACUUCUACCAAAAUAUCAGGUACAAAACUUCAAAUUUUUAUCAGACCCAUAACUUAAUAAAUUAUGAUCAAAGCAUAAAAGAAGAUUAAUACCAUAUGAUGAUCAAUGAGAGCAUAUUCAUACAGGACCCAACGAGUCCUAACAGCAUUCUCGUGUGAAUCCCCCGAAUAAAAAUCAAAACUUUUACGCGUCCCCACCACAACUUUCCCUGCACCCGCAUCAAUUACAUCCCUAACCCUCCCCCUCUUUUUCCAAUACCCGCCACCGGCGACUCUCCUCCUCCCUCUCUCCUCAAAACAACCCUCCUAACGUAACAAUACCAGUGGCGCCUCCGCCCUCCGCUGCCGAACCGGAAGCAACCCGAUUCAGGUAAGUUGAACGGGUUGAAAUUGUACAAGUCUAACUCUUUAAUUACGUCUUUGCCAUAACAAUUGGUGCCGUUGUUUUUAGAAGUAAGGUAGUAGCAGACGAGCUGUUGCUCGGAAGGGUAGAAUCGAGAACCUGGUGGAAGACAAAACGACGUCGGAUCAUCCGGGGGCUUUGGAUCCUCUCCCCUCAUUUGUGGAAAUUUUCCGCGAGAGCAAAGGCAUGGACAGGGGACAGAAGGUAGGGUUUUAUAGCAGUCAGGGACUCAAGAAGCGUGGCCCUGAAGUUUGUUUGGGGUUUUGUCUUGUGUAGUGCUAGCGCAAAAGAGUGUUCGUGCUCCUCAGUAGUACGAGCCGCCGGUCUGUCCACGAUUAUGCUGAAUGGUUGAUUGCUUUGCUGCUUAAUCUUGUGUGACCCGUUUGGAGGGUUGCGAGGACUUUAUAAAGAAUACAAGUGCUUUUAAGGAAACUGUUUAUAACCUGCUAAAUUUACCUACUUAAGUUAAGAAAAUCAGUUACUAAAUACCCUAAAAAUACAUUGAAUAAAUCUUAUAAAUAUCCUAAAAAUACUUUAAAUAAAUCUUAUAUACACUGACGAUGUAUACACUAUCGCGGUUGGAUAUACGACACAUAUGCAAAAUUUGAUUUUCAAAUUCAAAUUCAGAUUAAUGUGUCGUACAUCUAAUGAUGAAAGUGCAUACACUACUGCCAGUGUAUCAAAAAUUAAUCAAAUACUUUUAGUGCUUAAACUUUUUUAUUGUAAACGCAUUGCAACGCUAAACGGGCCAUUAGUGCAGUUUAACUUUAGUAAUUUUCGAGGUAGAUCAAAGCUAUGACAAAUAUAAUUUAUACAUUUAACUUGGGAUUUAUAAUUGUUUAGUAAAGAUUUUUUCUGUUGCAGAUCGAAUGACUCAAAUCAAUCAAUUUAGGUAUCGUGUAAUUGUUGUCUAAUAUGUAUUUUAUUAAAGACUUUUGGAUUGAUAGUAAUGUAGUAGAUGUGCUCGUUCAAUUGAACUUGCUCAGUAUUGGAAAUUGGAAUUGAAAAUUGAUGCAAAAGUGUGAAUAAAUUAAUACGAUUAAACAAAAAUCUACCUAUAUUGGAAUUGAAAAAUGAUUCAAAAGUAUUAUGAUUGAUAUAAUAAGUUAAAUUCUUCUUGGUCAAGUUUUUCCUUUUCCGGGGAUACUCCAUAUCCACAGUCUAUACUCUAUACUAUAUAGUGCAUGUCUCACCUUUUGAAAAGUCAACUCCAUUGACAAACGAGGAAUGCCCUCUGAAUAUUGCGCUUACUGAAGAGGGAUGUCUGUCUACUUUUUGUUCCGAUUCUUAAGUACAUUUGAAUGAAUUUUAAGUACGCCUAGGUUGCGAUUGGAAUGCGGGAUUUAAUGAAAGAUUGAAAUCUUCUCAAAUUUUUAUAAUUAUUUAAAUUAUUUAAGAAGUAUUUAAAUUUAUAAAUUACAAAUUAUUAUAGUGUUUAAAAUAUAUUUUGAUAAUUAGUGAAUUAUAAAUUCAAAUGUAUCUAAAUCAAUUCAAAUAAUUAGAACAACUUGAGUGGAUUUCAAAUUCUUCAUCAAAUUUCUCAAUCUAAACAAAAAAAAAAAAAAAUGCAUUUUGCCUCUUUUAUGGUAAAAGUAUGCACCCCGAGUGUGUAUAUCAUACAUGCAAUUCGCGAAACAUAUAAUCGACCCUUUUUCUGGUUGAACUCCCCUGGCGUUUCUCUCCACUGUAGUUCUUGAAACCAAACAUUCACUAAAGGAUCAUUUGAUUUUCACUUUCUUUCCCAUUAAAAGUAAAAAUGAUUACCAUUUCAUUUAAUUUUCAAGCAUGAGAGAGGGAAGGGUGUCCAUCAUGAUGCACUGAUUUCGUGAUUCUGAACAAGUUGAAAUUGCAAGAACAUAUUGAGUUUGUUUGGAUAGAGAGAAUUUGGAUGAUUUAUUUGAGAUAUUUACUGUAGCACUUUUUGUGAUGUGAUGUAUGUGAGAUAAAAAGGUGAUUGGGAAGAUAAAAAGGUGAUUGGGAUUUGUGAGGAUAAAUUUUGCAAACCAAAUUCUCUCUAUCCAAACAAACUCAUUAUUAUUAUUGUGAUUUACAGAUUUCUGACAUAAUACAGUUCGUUUUCGUCUAAAUUAAAGCACAAGAACUCCAGAAAUAACGAGUCCACCUAGUUGAGGGAACAUCGGUUUACUCAUUGACUGGAAUGCUGCUCAACGUACAAAGACGCGGGUGAUGGCCGUGAGGUAUUUCAUAACCAAAGAAUGAUUUUACAAUUUCGGACACAUCCGUGUGUGAAUUGUGAAACUGAAACUGUGGUAUCUAUCCAGUGUCAAAGUGCAUGGAUGCGUGAACAAAUCUAGCCCCACGACUGUUAUCGCCGGUGCAAUCAAUAUAAAGGGGCACAUGAGGGGCCGACUUUCUUGUUUCACUGUUGCAAGAUGACUGGUAGAAAGGGAGGAGGUUGAGCAUCUUCUGAUUUGGUUUUUACUCGUACUUGAUUCUGGAGACUUGGCGAAAGGGAGGCCUUUCUGCAUCUGUGUGAAGACGCCAUGCCAUGAUCUGAAUUAGCUCAGAUGCAAUGGUUCAGGGGUGGUUUUGAAGGGAAUCCGCAUCUUUGUCAGUGUGAUCACCAGUUGAUGCAACUUCCAGGCUGCCCAUCCCAAUCCAUUUCUCAGCAGCAGCUCCCUCAAAAUUCCUUCUGUUGACAAACUGCACUAAAUAAUGCCUACUUGGCGCAAGUCCUACUCCACCUAUACUUGGCGCCAGUCCACAAAGUUGAAAAACCCCAGUCCCUGGGGGAUUUGGUCAGUCAAAUCUUGUAAAUCCCUUUAAUUCUUUUAUCUAUACACUGACUAGUAUAUCCUUCUGGGGAAACGGCAGCAAUCAGGUAAAAGCGUUCACAUGGGAGUUAAUUUUCGGAUGCUUUGAACCAAUACAGUAGUAUAUAGAGUGCUGGUGAGCAUUAUAUUAUUAUUGUUUGCCUGGCCAGGGAGAAUCAGUUGGGUUGUCAAAAAAAAAAAAAUAAAGGGAUGAAUUCGCAAAGCCGCCGAAAAUGCUAAAGAAAACCAGCCCUACUAUCGGCAAUUGCAUGGAACUAAUAAAUAAAAAUUCGAAUGGACCCCCAAGUCUCAGAGAGUCGGACUCCUCUACUAUCAGUACUGGUUCUAUAAUUUUUAUUUUAGGAGCACUCAGACACCGCGAAAACACACGCUGGCUCAUAGGUUUCUAUAAGUCGGCCCCCUCUGUACUACAUCUAACAAAUCUUGUUGGAAGUCAAAAACAUAUAUACAGGCUUAGUCGAUACCCCAGGUCAGAUUUGCCUUCCUCUCAUGUACCGGGUGGUUCCUGCAGAGACCUUAGCGCUCGAGCAGUUUUCUUCUAGUAUUAUAAUCCUGGAAAUCAUCUCAAAAACAGUUUUAAAAACAAAUUACCAGCCAUUAACUCUCUAAACAAUAUCCAAAAAUAAGAUGAGAAUAAAACUACUCCGGCAGGUUCAAAAUUCCAAUCUAUCAUUCGAAAACUCAGUUCUAGAAUCUAAUUCCUUCCCUACGAAAGAUAUUGAAAUCUUGAUUCUAUCAAAAACUCAUCUUCCAUUCUCAUCACUUCACCCGCGCUCAGGAAACGAUGCUGUCACUCAGGGAAAGUGAGGCUAGCUGAUCAGCUGGGCCGCUUGCCUGCUGAACAUUCUGCAGGACCUCCAUUGCCUCAGCAACUUUUGCCUUUAAAGCAUCUGGUGAUUCCAGUAGAUGCAAGACCUCUGUCUGGUCCAUCUCCAGAAGCAUGCCUGUAACUUGGCUGCAUAUUCAGGCUCCAGCUGAUCAACAAUGGAUACAGAUUUUCACCCAACAUCUCCGCAUAGAAACAUGUUAACAACCAUCUAGACAAAACCUAUUUACUGAAGCUUCAUAUAAAAUGUUAUAUCCUACCGUGCGUUGCUGUUCUGGGGAUGCAUUUGCAAGUGCAGAUGCCAGAGCGGUAGCUGGCAUUGGCUGACCAAUGGCACCUUCUCGGGGAAGCGUCCCACCCAUGUCAUAUGGAGAGAGAACGCCUCCUGCUACACCAGGCAUUCGCACAUCAGGAACACUGCGGCCAGGUGGAUACCUAAACAUCCGUCCCCUUGGUAGCAUCUGACAAACAAAUAUUUGACCUUAGUUCUGUUACACGAAAAAAUACAUACAUAACAUAUACAGUAAGAGACCAACCUGCUGCUGCAUCAAUGGCACUGGCUGCUGGGCUUGUUGCAUUGGCCCUGCUCCACGCCUUCCACCAGGCCGCUGGCCUUGCUGGACCAGUGGCACAAAGAAAUUUGGCAAAGGAGCUCCACCAGGUCGCAUUCCAGGUACAAGCUGCUGCUGAUAUCCAAAUCCAGCCUAAAAAUGCUUAUCCCAUUUAAGAGUAAUGCCACAAGAAGAGAAGAAAAAAAAAAGAACAAAAGGAAGGGGGGGGGAGGCGGGGAGGGGAAGAAAUGUAAUGGCAAAUACAGCAGUCAAAGGACAAACUAUAACCUGUGGAGGGAUUAUAGUAGGAGGAGCUUGCCCAUAAUAUAGAUGUUGUCCAAUAGCAGGACCACCAGGAGGAUAGAGAGGCAUUCUAGGAGCAAUAGUUGGCCCUAUUGCAACAGGCCUCAUUUGCGCAAACUGAGCCUGCAUUAACAUCAAAAUGAUGAAGUCUGUCAAGAAUUACAGUACCACAUUCAGUCUAAGCCACACAAAACACGCUUCUGCAAGGCAUUGUCAUAACGAUUCAGCUAUGACAAAUUGCAGCACAUAAUUACUACUAUUUCUGCUUUAGGUCCCAUGGAACCCUUAAAUUUCAGAAACGAAAAUUUGAGACCAAAACUGAACAACAAAUACAGCAAAACAGGUAAGCUCAAAAUCCAGUAUACAUGUAAGCUGAGAAUGCUAAAAAUCUAAAUGGAUAUGACAACUAAAUUAUUGAACUUUUUAAGCACUAUUAAGAAAAUUCAACCAUCAACCAUCCACUCAUAUUCUAAUAGACAUUGUGCACUUUUUUCUUAUGACUGACAUAACCAAUGAAAAUAGAGAUUUGACACCCAGAAUAUGCAAAAGGAUGCAAAUAACAGCAUUUGGCAAGGAGAGUCUCAUGCAGGAAAAAUCAAUAUGCCAUAUGAAAGCAUGUUAAAUUAAGUGCCAUCAGGCGAAGAAUUCUUAUAUGUCAUCCACAAAAGCAACCAGAAAACAUAAAUAAAAGCAGCAAAGGAGAAAUCUCCUGAAAGCACGAGACCUGUAAUCUUGCUCUUCGCUCUUCUUUCCUCUGCGCCAGUGCAACAUAAAGUGGCUUGCUGAUCACCAUCUUUCCAUUCAUCUCAGAAAGCUAUUAACAAGAAGGAAACAACCUAGUUAGCUUCUCGCCAUUCCCCAUAUAAUAGAAACAUAAUCUAAUUUAUCAUCGUACAGCUCUAGAAGCUUCUUCAGGAGUUGUGAAAGCUACAAAACCUGAUCCUCUGCUAAUACCACUAGGAUCCGCAUAACCUAAAACAAAUCAAGAAUGUAGUUAGGAGGACAUGAACAAACCAAGGUGAACAUUUGAAGGACACUCCAACAUGGAGAGAUGGAAAGGAAGAAUAGGACAAGAGGAUCAAUUAAAAAAAAAACUACAGAGAUUUGAAUAUGCACCUUGCAUGAGGUUAUGGUGCCAAAAUCCGAAAACAGUUCCUUAAGUUUAUCAUCAUCAAUGCUGUCAUCCAGGUUCUUUACAUAUAAAUUCAAACCUUGAUAUUUGUCUACCACUUCCUUUGCCGUUUGCUCAAAUUGACUCUUGAGCUCUUGCUCUCUUUCAGACUUCUUUUGGGCUUUUCCAACAUACCACUCCUUGUCAUCAUAUUUUUUUCCAUUAAGAGCAUCAACAGCUUUGGCAGCAUCAUCUGCAUUCUCAAAGUUGACAAACCCAAAACACUUGGAUUUUCCAUCUGCAUCCCUCAUCACCACUGCACUAGUGAUUGCUCCAUGCUCCCCAAAAAUUUUCUUUAGAUCAUCAUCUGUGGUAGACUCUGAUAGAUUUUUCACAUAGACAUUGUUAAAUUUGGUCCUACUGAAGGCGGACUCUCUCUCCUGCUUACGAAGGAACUGACCAACAUACACUUGCUUAUCGUUAAUAAGCAUUCCAUUCAACUUAUCAAUGGCAGUCUGAGCAGAUUCUGCAUGGUCAAAUUGAACAAAACCAUAACCCUUAGAUUGGCCAUUGCCGUCAGUAGCUAUCUUGCAUGAAAGAAUGUUGCCAAAGGUUGAGAAUGUAUCAUGCAAAGCUUUGUUGUCAAUUGCCUUGUCCAGAUUCUGCACAGACAAGAACAAUUCAAUACUCCACACAAAGCAUGCAUAAGACAAUGGCAUAGUACAGUAACAUUUAACCCUGGUGGUGCUUUAAGAAUAUAAAGCAUAAAAUCUCAAGAGAGAAAGAACUGUACAACACUGUUUUAUUAAUUCUUCAAGAUCACAGAAUUAGGCUAGAAAAUUUACAAUGCACAGCAUAGUUCAAUCAGAUUUGAUGCUCAUGGGCCAAAGGAGGCUACUGAAGUGUACUAGAACAAAGCAAAUAAUCUAAAAACUGAAAUUUGUUCAUUGCUUUAUCAACAAUAAAAAAUUUUUAAUCCAUGUCAUGCCAAGUGAGACUAUACCCAGAAUAAACAAAGGGACCCGCAUGGUGCAUUAGAUAGGGGCAAGUAAUAACCCUAAUAACUGAAAAGUUAUUUAGCAUCGUUAUUCAUUUAAUACUAAUUGCACAGCAACCCUAGCAACAUGCCUUGGCAGUGCUAUACUCAAGCCUGAUCAAUGAAUAAUGAUGGACAGUUGACAAUUGAUAAUACCUUGAUAAAGAUAUUUGCAGUCCCACUCUUACGGAUGCUAGGGUCUCGAUGAGAGUACAUGAUCCUGAUCGACUUGCCAUUGAUAGGAGUGAAGUUUAACACAUCCAUUGCCCUUGUAGCUGAAACAAAGAAAAACGGUAUUGGUAGUAAAUUUAAUGGAAAUGAACUUCAGGUAGAAAACUUAAAUAAACAGACAAAGAGAUGCAAUCAUAUCGCCAAGAAAUCAGUAAAAAGAAUAUCAAGUAAAUUUACACAGACUAGUGUACAUUACUUCUCUCUAACAUUUGGAUGGUAAUAGACAAGCAGCAGCCUACGUGUGGAGCCGCAAAAGGAAGGUGAUAUAAAAUCAACCUAUAAAAGCAAAGGAAGGGUAGCAAUAUUUAUUUUUCAUCUAUCCAUAAACUACAAACAAAGCUAAUAGAUAGACUUAUCGCCAGAAUUGGAGCCACACCCGAAUCAAAGUGUCAAACUGAAAAUAAAUUAACAGCAAUAGCUGACCAGCUUACAGCUGACUUGCGUUGUUCAAAAACCUAAAAAUUCUAAACUUUAGGCACAACACGCAAUCUUGUCAAGCAUCCAGAAGUAUGCCUACCCAUCAAUUAUCACACACCAAAGCAUAAGACGUUAAAGAAUACCCUCAUGCAAAACAUACAUUCCAACAAAAUCCACAAUGCAAGUCCCUAUAUCGUAGAAAAUCAUUCAUAUACAUAAAUGCCAGGGGAACUUAUACAGGAAAAAGAGAACAGAAAAGAAGAAACAAGCUUUACCAUCCUGAGGAUUGCUAUAGUUGACGUAGCCAUAGCAGAGUGAGCGGCGAGUGCUGAGGUCCCUACAGACCCUUACCGAAACCACUUGUCCCACCUGGUUGAACAGAUCGUACAAUUGGGAGUCCGUCACGUUGACGUCCAGGUCACCCACGUAAAGCGAGGUUGACAAAAACUGAUUCCCUCCACCAAUGGGAGCCGCUGCUGCCGCCACAGCAGCACCACCAGCCGGAGCCGCCACUCCAUUCAGCCCAGCUGUCACUCCCGCAUUCUGCACCUGAAUCUGCGCCAUUUUUUCCUUUUCUCAAAAAUAAAACUUAUUUAAUUUCCCCCUCCUAAAUUACUAUGACUGUAAUUUUUGGGGAAAUUAAAGAAAAGGCGGAGGGCGUGAUGAAAUUGGGACAAAAAUAUAAAAUCGUCGGAGGAUCCGAACGAACAAUGAAGACGAUGGAUAGAUAGAGAUGAUUUUUACUAUAUAUCAAUAGAUUUUGUAUUAAAAAGAAAAGAAAAAAAAAAGAAGGAGAUGAAGAAGAAGAAGAAAAAGGGCAAAAAAUUUUGGUUUUUUUUUUGGAUUUUACGGCAGGGGAGGGCAGGGGGAACUGCACCGCAACAGGCGAGAAGACAACAGUGAGGUUUAUAAUGAAGCACCCAAACGGUGGUGACGUAUGAGAAACCCUAACGGGGUUAGGUCUCCACCGUUGGAUUCUAAUAGGGGUCCCACUUGGCGGUUACAUUUUAGACUGAACGGUGAGAUAGAUUCACGAUUCGGUUUCAGUUUGCUUGUGGACGCCGUUAGAUGUUUUUGAUCAACAUUUCAGGUUCAGUUUGAUUGUGACACGUGGGGAAAUGUGCAUGGGAGUUUUAGUAGCGUGGUUGAAUCUAGCCGUGGGCUAAUGUCAUCUGUCGGCUGUAUUCCUCUCACUUUUGUACAAUCUACGAAAGAAAACUACGUAGUAUUUUCAUGUCUAUCAUUUCCUUCCUCAAGAAAAACAUUUCUAUCUUUUGGUUUCGAUAUAUAGUAUUAAAAAUCAAUCGUUUUUGCUGGGGGAAAUGACAGAACAUGAAAAUGUCUAUAUGUGAGAAGUGAAAGCCCAAAUAAACACGAAUGUUUGGAUAGUAGAUUAUUUAGGAUAAAUUUUUGAAAAAAAAUACUAUGUCAAUUUUUUGAUGUAAUGUAUGUAAGAUAAAAUGGUGAUAAAAAAAUAUGUUUAUGAUACAACUAAAUAAAUUUGUGUAAAUAAUUCACUAUUCAAUUUCCCACUCUUUUGAUCAUUGAUGAAUAUUUUUGUUACAACCACUCCAUGACAAAUUCUUCUGUCAAUACGGGGACUAAACCACCAUCGGACUAGACGGCUGUACGCACCGUGCACCCGUCUGGAUUUUUUAGGAGAGCCAUUUUUUAAUGUGGCGAAUUUGCCUCCCACCCCACUAAGCUUUAAUGCAUUGAUGGUCGCACUAGCCCAAGACCGGUGAUUUUUUAAAUUUCUACCUUGAUCGAAUUUUUUUUUUUGAAAUCAAAAGAAUUGAAACUUUUGAAAAGGAUAAGUCAUACAAACUUUAUUUGAUUAAUAUGUAACUUAAGAACGAGUACAAACUAAGACAUAAUAGCUGUCAAGCUAUUGAGAUGAAAAAAAAGGAGAAAAGAGAUCACAAUUCCCACUUGUGACAAAAUAUUGUCGAGGUGAUGAGUAGGUACCCUUGUGAUUGAGACGAUGAUUUCUUUGUUUUCUUUUUUUCUCCCUCUUUUUUUUUUUUUUUUAUUUAUAACCAGGUCUGAACUUUGAUAUACAGGUAUAGUGGUAUGAUGGAUGGACGAAGAAAAGCCCUAAUAUUCCGAAGUCGCUUAGUAUGAUAAAUUAACAAUUGGUCUCUGCGUUAGUUUGGCCAGAGAUCAUUAAUUAACUGACGAUUAAUUUUGAUGGUUUGGAAUUGUGUGUGUUAAGAAGUAUUGAGACAGGGAAAUCCCGUAGACAAUCAACUAAUCAUGCAUGAUUUAAACGACCUUCAUGAAUACAAACUCAUUGCAGCUUGACAUAUACGUCUCUGAGCUCAUUUCCAUGGACUUAAGUGCAAUUUCAAUUUUGACCUUUUAUUUUUCCUUUUAGCGUAUGAUUUAAAGUAAAUCAGGUUUUCAGAUACGUUUUUUGGACAGGGACAGGGACAUGGAGCAGGCGGUGUAAGUUAUCAAAAGAAAGGUAGUAAAAGCAAGAUCUAUUAGCAACAGGUGUGGGACGCCGUGCAUGGAUCCUGAAGUAUAAGGCUUUAUUUAGAUUGCUUUUUUCUGGACUUUUUGUAGAAAAAUUAUUAUAACGAUUUGAUAUAUGUAAGAUAAAAAAGUGAUUGAAAAAUAUGUUCACAAAAAAUGUAAUAAUUUUUUUUUGAAAAUUGCAAUCCAAACAUAGCGGUUUUCCACCAAAAAGCAUGAAGAAUUCUCUAGGCAUGGUGUGUUUUGUAGAUCAAUGAAGUGUUAAUCUACCAGUAAUCAUUUGAAGAAGAACCGUAAAAUGAAUCAUUUUCUAGAGUUUUUGUAUAAAAAUCGUAUUAUAGUGAUUUAAUAUAUGUGAAGUAAAAAGUUGAUUGAUAAAUGUAUUCAUGAAAAAACGUAAAAAUUUUUGUGUGGAAAAUAGCUUUUCCGAACAACAAGGACAUUGUAUAGCCUCUAACGAACUGAGCACAGGAAGAAAACCAUAAAGAAACUAUUCUUAAUUUUCUUCAGGUAUACUAACACUUACCAAUGGAGAUGUACAAUUAUUAGGGAUAAUAUCAGAAACCUCCCUUGAGGUUUCUCCUAAUAUCACUUGAUACCCCUAAGAUUUUUGAAAUAUCGUUUACCUCUCCUAAUAAUUGCAAAAAGAUUGUAUUAACCUCCAUUUGACACAUAAUUCAUAUAUCAAAUAAACGGAACUCAAAAAUUUUUUUUUAAAAAAGUCACUUUUUAUCUUUCUCUUUUCUCCAUCAUUCUUUUCUACUCAUUUUUUGGAUGACUAUACAAUAUUUUAUUUAUAAAUUAUAAUAAAUUAAAUUUUUUAUCUUAUAUUUUUUGUAAUUGUAAUAAAGUGGAGUAUGAUUUAUUUGCUUAUUUUGAGUUGAUUUUUAUAAUGAUUGGUAUAAUUAAUGGUUUAAGCAAAGGUUCAGAAGAUGUUGAAAAAAAAAAAUAAAAGUUCAUAAGAAAUCGGUUUUGAGCAUAUAGAGUUAAAUUGGUGCAAGUGUAUUUCUCUUCAAAUAUCUUUUGUUAAAUCGGUAAGUGAUGUUUUUAAAACCUUGGGGGGUUGCCAAGUGAUAAUAAGGAAAAUCUCAAGGGAGGUUUCUGAUAUUAUCCCAAAUUAUUAAACUAUGUGGCCGUUUAAACUUUACUCAAUCAAAACGAAUUUGAUUUGAUUAUGUUUAAAGCCUAAUAUAUGCAUUUAGAAAGAAAAGUUGCACCAAAGCUUUACAUGCAACGUUAUUAAAGCAGAUGUCAUCAUCAUCUUCAGAUGACAAUCGGACUAGCAGCUGGCGCCGAUCCGUCCAAUAAAUGAUUAGUUAUACUUUAGGUCAAAUUUGAAAGGUAAUGUAAUUUCAUAGGCCAAUCAUUAAGGAUUAGAGCUAAGAAUAUGAAUGAUUACAUGCACUAAACCUUGUGUGUCUCAGGUGGAAUUAGUCAAUAAUCAUACGCGGCGUUGCAGAACCACACCCGGGCCGAAUUAAUCCCAUCCCUCAUUAACCAAUCGACCAGAAAUUAUGCUAAACUGACUAAGAAUCAUCAAGAAAAAUACAAAAAAAGUUAAUAAAAGGUGCGGUCUUGAUCAGCAGGGUAAAGCUACAAAUACGACCAUGCUGUGGACAUCAGCUUUACAUGAAACGUCAAAUAUUAAAGAAGAAAGAAAUGGACAUGUAAUUCCCUCCACCCAAGAUAACUGUAUACAAACCAGACUUCUCUAGUCUAGUAGUAAUUUAAAUUCUAGGAUCCCUUUCCCAACUCCUUAAUUUCCCACCAACAACAUGUCAUAACUAUAACUGAUCUUCGACCCCACAAACCACUACUGGAAAUAUACACAAAUGUGCAAGGCCCUGAAUGAAUUUGUUGGUUAGCAAAAGUCGCACAAAAAAAAAAAAAAAAAAACAAUUCUAGCUAGUUGAACUUGAGUAGUGUAUAUAUUGGCAUUCCAAUUUAGAUUUCAUUGAUUGAUACUGUUUCAUGAAAGGCAAGACACAAACCAUCUUUAUCAGUUUUGAAGUCUAAAAUAGUAGUACUACGUGGGAAGUGGAGUAGGAUAUGAACGGAAGAUGGAGGUUCGUGGACUUCAGUGUCCUACUGUCACGGUUUCGUAACUUUUAACCUAAAAGCUAAGGAAAACAAAAUCGCUAUAGUCAAAAGGACCGAUCAGCCGCGACAGAAUAUUGGGAAAAAAGAGUCGUGGUAGUAGCAACAUUUUCCAACGAGAGACAGAAACACUUUGGUUUCAGGUUAGGAACAGAAUAAGGAGGAUCAGGAUCAUGAUCAGGGUACAAAGAUACAAUACUUGUCUUUCUUCUUUCCCGAAACAAAGAAAGAAAAAAAGCAAGAAAAGUACUGCAUGAAAUUAAGCAAAUUACAACUGAAACCGAGAUGAAAGAUUCUUGAAUUUUGCCUUGAAGUUUUCAUCUGUUCUCUGGGUGCAAUGGGAAGAGUUCUAGGGUCCUAUCUCCCUCAUUU